This 301-nucleotide ribosomal RNA is filed under the name uncultured bacterium. RNAcentral describes it as "partial 16S ribosomal RNA". It matches the Rfam family "Bacterial small subunit ribosomal RNA", at positions 509 to 809 of the family's 1533-position model. The record is from RNAcentral.
CAGUAGCCGCGGUAAUACGGAGGGGGCUAGCGUUGUUCGGAAUUACUGGGCGUAAAGCGUGCGUAGGCGGCUUUGUAAGUUAGAGGUGAAAGCCCAGGGCUCAACCCUGGAAUUGCCUUUAAGACUGCAUCGCUUGAACGUCGGAGAGGUGAGUGGAAUUCCGAGUGUAGAGGUGAAAUUCGUAGAUAUUCGGAAGAACACCAGUGGCGAAGGCGACUCACUGGACGACUGUUGACGCUGAGGCACGAAAGCGUGGGGAGCAAACAGGAUUAGAUACCCCUGUAGUCCCUGUCUCUUAUAA